RNA transcript from Macadamia integrifolia, 2669 nucleotides. It is a transcript of the gene named K(+) efflux antiporter 4-like, with no coding region annotated. The record is from RefSeq and is a predicted model, not a curated record. Lineage: Eukaryota; Viridiplantae; Streptophyta; Magnoliopsida; Proteales; Proteaceae. The transcript is spliced from 19 exons.
UCUAAAGCAGGAACCGGAAAACAGCAUUUUUUUCCCAAAAAAAAAAAAGGAUUAUCAACUAUCAAAUCAAAGGGUAGUUGUAGCCUCAACUGGCAACUCUCUCUCUCUCCUACACGCGCACACACAUGGAAGGCAGUCACUGUCAGGUCGAGCUGACACAUUUUUUGUAGAACAACGACCACUCAACACUCCUCUCUCAGUAGUCACUAUUUUUAGAGAGGUUUACUGUUACUCUGCCUGCGCCCAACCUUUACUCGGCGACAGGCGGACGUUGUUGCAAUGACGUGGUGGAGUACUUGUAAUUUGCUCGACUUCCUCAUUGUCUUCCUUCUAUCUCUUCUUCCUCUCUCCCUUGCUUCUGUUCCUUCUCUCUCCCAGUCUCUCCUCCACUCCGACUUGGAUGCCUCGGUCGACUUCAACUCCACUGAUUCUAAUGCCACUCGUCCCAGAUCCAGGGAGGAUAGUUUCGCUGGUAUGAUCGAUCGCGCCUUGGAGAAGGAAUUCCCUGAUAAUGAACAGUCCGGAGAAACUGAUGAUGCCGGCAGCUUCAAUAACAGUGUUAUCGAACAACAGGCAGUUCUGGAAACUGUUGCUAGAAUCAAGCCCAAGAAAAAUGAGACCAAGGAAGAGAAGUCAUUUCAACUUCAUGAUGUUUUUAAUUUGGAUAACGAGAAUCAAGCAGAAGAUAUGCCAACAUUAAUAGAUAGAAGGGACAAUGUGUUUAUUAUUUCUAAUCCCAAAUCAAAAUAUCCUGUGCUACGGUUGGACUUAAGAUUGAUAUCAGAUCUUGUAGUUGUCAUUGUAUCUGCAGCCAUUGGUGGCAUUGCUUUUGCGUGUGCUGGACAACCAGUUAUUACUGGAUAUUUGCUAGCAGGAUCUGUUAUUGGACCAGGCGGGUUAAGUUUGGUCAGCGAAUUGGUUCAGGUUGAAACGGUAGCUCAGUUUGGGGUGAUCUUCCUUCUUUUUGCAUUGGGACUUGAGUUUUCUGUAACAAAGCUUCGAGUUGUCCAAGCUGUUGCUGUUCUAGGAGGCCUGCUCCAAAUUUUCCUAUUUAUGUGCUUGUGUGGUAUAACUGCCUCGUUAUGUGGUGGUAAACCUUCAGAGGGGAUGUUUGUUGGUGCAUUUUUAUCAAUGUCUUCAACAGCAGUGGUUUUGAAGUUUUUGAUGGAAAGAAAUAGUAUCAAUGCCCUUCAUGGUCAAGUCACAAUAGGCACCCUUAUCCUGCAGGACUGUGCUGUGGGCAUGCUAUUUGCAUUGCUUCCGAUUUUGGGUGGUACUUCUGGGAUUCUUCAAGGAGUGAUAUCCAUGACUAAGUCGUUGAUUCUCUUGAUUACAUUUUUGGCAAUCUUGUCGAUAUUGUCUCGCAGUUGUGUACCUUGGUUUCUUAAGCUGAUGAUAAGCGUAUCAUCACAGACCAAUGAACUCUAUCAACUGGCAUCAGUUGCAUUUUGUUUACUUGUGGCUUCGUGUAGCGACAAACUUGGUCUAAGCCUUGAACUGGGUUCUUUUGCUGCUGGUGUGAUGAUAUCCACAACUGAUCUUGCUCAACAUACACUUGAACAAGUUGAACCAAUUCGCAACUUCUUCGCUGCGCUUUUUCUUUCCAGCAUUGGGAUGCUGAUUGAUGUCCAUUUCCUUUGGAACCAUGUGGAUAUUUUACUGGCAGCUGUUAUUUUGGUGAUCAUAAUAAAAACAUUUGUGGUCAUGAUAGUUGUCAAGGGAUUUGGCUAUAACAACAAGACCUCACUUCUAGUGGGCAUGUCUCUGGCUCAGAUUGGGGAAUUCUCUUUUGUUCUUCUUAGUCGUGCUUCUAAUCUUCAUAUGGUGGAGGGUAAGUUGUAUCUGCUGCUUCUUGGCACAACGGCUCUUAGUCUGGUAUGUAGCCCAAAACUGAAUCAUGCCUUCACUGUUACAAUGUUAUCUGUAAGCCUGAUCAUGGUGAUAAAGACUUUCAGGAUGCAUUCAUCCACGCUGCUAUGUGAAUGCUCCCAUGUGUGUGUGUGUGGUGCAACAAAAGGGAAAGUAGGUCUUGUUGGCAACCCCUUUUUAUGCUUUUAUUGCCGAGGGUCUUCUGGAUGUAACAUAAUUUUGAAUAGGAAACCCUUGAAGUUACUGUUCAAUCAUUGAGUAUCUUGAAACUUUUUCUCUGAAUACCCUGCCACUAGGUCAAUCAGAUAGGCUGGAAGCAGUGGCAGUCUCCACACCCUCACCUAUAAAUGUGUUUAGAGAUGGUGUAAAUAGGUACAUGAGCACACUUAAAUGUGUGCAGGGACUCAUAAUAUUGCAGGUAUGAACACAAAAAAUGCAUCUUGAACAUGGUUUUGGACUAGAUUACUUCUAAUAUUCAUUGGAAGUCUCUCAAAAUUAGAAAUUUUCAUAGGAGAGCAUAGCUGAUCUGCCAUAAGAAAAGGGGUUAGUACAAUCAAUAUUCAGUUCCUUGUUUGUAUUUGUGACUCGUCUAUUCCAGAGCUAGCUUGUUUGUGAUUCAAGAUGUGUAUCGCUUACCAAACCAUUAUGCAGAUGACUACCCCAUUACUUUUCAAGUUAAUUCCUGCUGUUUUACAUCUCGGAGUGCUAUUACGUUGGUUCUCUGAUAGUAGCCAAAGCGAGAUUGGGUUUAAAGGAGAAGGCCUUCGUGUAGAUAAUGUUAAACGUAUUACAUUGAUGGA